GGAUUUAGCUCAGUGGUACAGCACUUGCCUAGCAUGCACAAGACCUUGGGUUCAAUCCUCAGCACCA
Molecule: transfer RNA, 67 nt
Filed under: Marmota monax (woodchuck)
Lineage: Eukaryota; Metazoa; Chordata; Mammalia; Rodentia; Sciuridae
Description: tRNA.Ala
Source: RNAcentral